GGCGAACGGGUGAGUAACGCGUGGGUAACCUGCCCUAUGGAAAGGAAUAGCCUCGGGAAACUGGGAGUAAUGCCUUAUAAUAUAUGUUUGUCGCAUGGCAGAUAUAUUAAACGCUCCGGUGCCAUAGGAUGGACCCGCGUCCCAUUAGCUAGUUGGUGAGAUAACAGCCCACCAAGGCGACGAUGGGUAACCGGUCUGAGAGGGCGAACGGUCACACUGGAACUGAGACACGGUCCAGACUCCUACGGGAGGCAGCAGUGGGGAAUAUUGCGCAAUGGGGGAAACCCUGACGCAGCAAUACCGCGUGAGUGAAGAAGGUUUUCGGAUCGUAAAGCUCUGUUAUUGGGGAAGAAAAAAAGACGGUACCCAAGAAGAAAGUCCCGGCUAACUACGUGCCAGCAGCCGCGGUAAUACGUAGGGGACAAGCGUUGUCCGGAUUUACUGGGCGUAAAGGGCACGCAGGCGGUUUUUUAAGUCAGAUGUGAAAGGUACCGGCUCAACCGGUGACAUGCAUUUGAAACUGAAAGACUUGAGUAUUGGAGAGGCAAGUGGAAUUCCUAGUGUAGCGGUGAAAUGCGUAGAUAUUAGGAGGAA
This 594-nucleotide ribosomal RNA is filed under the name uncultured bacterium. RNAcentral's name for it is "bacterial SSU rRNA". It matches the Rfam family "Bacterial small subunit ribosomal RNA", at positions 97 to 706 of the family's 1533-position model. The record is from RNAcentral.